CUGCUCUGCGUACAGCAGGGCUCUCUGGUAUAAAUUCCUGUCUGCUGACAGCCCUAGCAGACACUGAUAAACAGCAAUGUCCAGGUGCACCAGCUGACCAUGUCCUCUAACCGCCUGACAGUAAACUGCAACUCUGAGAAUAAGGGCUCAAUUAAUAAUUACAAUGAGACUGUGAUAAAACUCUGCUAAUGUGUAAUGAUAAAGUAUGAUGCGGUUUGUUAUAGGAUUUAUCUUCUUUUUGAAUGUCGGUUCAGCAGGUUACGCUGUAGCUGAUGUUCUGAGAUCUUCAUCCAUGCGCCCCUCUUUAAAUCUGAGCACCUGCCCCUCUAAAGGUCUCUGCACGGCCCUGGAGCUGUGAACGUAGUAUUUGGGGGCAGGAGAUGGAUAAUGGAUAAUGAACUCAAACAUCCUAGGCCGUGCCCCAGGCUGCUUCCGCGUUGAAGCCAUAAUUCCCUGUAUGUAAAUGAAAGUGAAAGAGAUUUAGUCGCCAUUUCAGCAAGAAACACGAACAAGAUUCCGGAAUGAUUUAAAGAUACUUGCAUUGCAAGUGUACAUGAAACUGAAACUACAGCAAAAACUUGAUUCAUUGGUCGGAAGUGAUAUUACACCUAAGUGGAUUCAGUACAAGAGAAAACAUCUGUUUAUUUAAGC
Long non-coding RNA from Brienomyrus brachyistius, 651 nucleotides. RefSeq lists it as uncharacterized. The record is from RefSeq and is a predicted model, not a curated record. NCBI's taxonomy places the organism in Eukaryota, Metazoa, Chordata, Actinopteri, Osteoglossiformes, Mormyridae. The transcript has 3 exons.